Molecule: long non-coding RNA, 1499 nt
Organism: Oenanthe melanoleuca
Lineage: Eukaryota; Metazoa; Chordata; Aves; Passeriformes; Muscicapidae
Exons: 4
Source: RefSeq, a predicted model, not a curated record
UUCUGGAUUGAUUCCCUGCUGUUGGCUCCUCGUGAAGGGGCAGCUCAGGCUGAGAGAACAUUUCUGCUGUGGUGCUGGAGCCUUUGGUCAGUGCAGGGAAUUUUGAAAAUUAACUGGGCUUUAAUUCCAACCAGAAAAACACAGUUUGGACUGAAAUCAAAUCUGGAAAAACAUGUCAGGAAAAGCCAAAACCUCAGGCUCUGUGUGUGAUCAUAAAACUUUUUGCUGCAGCUUCUAAUCAGGGAAGAGAUCACCUAAUAAAAAUAGCACUUUGGAAGGAAGAACAAUUCAAUACUGAACAGGAGUGAGGAGCUCUAACUAGUGAUAAAGACUGCACUGCUUGGGGAAGAUUUGUUGCUGUUGGUAGAAGCCUGAAGAGGCUCUUUGCAGCCAGGAACGGUUCUGCAGAGCUGAUGGAAUGAGUUCUGUCCUUGGGGCAGGUGCUGAUGGAAGGGCUGCUUUCAGUGUGUGUGCUCUCCCUGCCUUCCCUUGUGCUGCUGCAGAGGUUUUGUUGCAGUUUAUGUCCUGGGCUGAACUAAUCUACAGCACAAAGCACCAGCUGGUAAAUCAAACCAUUAUUUCAACCCCGCUUUAUUAUUUUUCCCCUUUAUUCCUGCUGCCCUUGCCAAUGCAGAGCUGGGAAUCUGUGGCCAGGUAAGCAGAGCCCUCCACACCUCUCUGCUAUGGAGUGAUCACUUGGAGCCUGGAUGUGUGAUCAGCAUCUCCAGCCUUUCUCAGCCUCCUGUGUGGCUGCACCUAUUUAUUCCCUGUUAGCAGCUUUAUAUCCUUUAUAUGAGGAGUUCAAGGCCUGCUAAUCUUGCAUCAUUUGUAGUCCUGUCUAAAUUCUGAUCUUUACAGCCACUGCUCUAGAAAUGAAAAGAUUAAUCAAAUGCCAGAAGAUUACUAGAGCUUCAAACCAGUCAGAAUGUGACUGGGAAAACAUGUUAAUCACUUCUCACUUAACCUGAGCACAUACUGCACCCUGCACUCCUGCUCCUGUCACUGAUCUGUAUAAUGAGCACCUCUGGUUGACAGAUGCAGAAGAAAUUAUAGUGCUUUUUGCAUUCUUUUUAUCAGAUACCUCUGUUUUGGUGCUAUAGAUACUCUCCAGACAUCCUGCUCAAACCUAUGUAUAGAAAAGGCAAGAUCUCCACACCAAAAUUCACAUGUAGAAAUAUGAUUUCAGAGAAUUUGUAAGGUUUAAAAAGUACUGUAGGAAAGUAGCAAAUAAGUCAAAGAUUAAGGAUAAGCUACAUUAUUCAACAAUUCAUUUCUCAUAUUUUAGUGAUUUGAACAUAAAUCUGUUUCAAGUACUUUAGUAUAAAUGCAUUUACUUUAACAGAAAAAAAAAUCCUUGACCUUUAUUGCCAUUUUGAGCACGUUAAUAAAAAGAGCAGCACUUUUCAAACACUUGAGUUUUUCAUCAGCACCCAGUGAAUUAGUUUUCCUGCAGUUAACAGCAUUGCUGCAAAACUGCCCUGGUGUGAUGCUGAGCUUGG